Molecule: ribosomal RNA, 245 nt
Filed under: uncultured bacterium
Lineage: Bacteria
Description: partial 16S ribosomal RNA
Rfam family: Bacterial small subunit ribosomal RNA
Source: RNAcentral
UAGGGGGCGAGCGUUAUCCGGAAUUACUGGGUGUAAAGGGAGCGUAGACGGCGCGAUAAGCCUGAAGUGGAAGCCCGGGGCCCAACCCCGGAACUGCUUUGGGAACUGUCGGGCUGGAGAGUGGGAGGGGUAAGCGGAAUUCCUGGUGUAGCGGUGAAAUGCGUAGAUAUCAGGAGGAACACCGGUGGCGAAGGCGGCUUACUGGACCACGGCUGACGUUGAGGCUCGAAAGCGUGGGUAGCGAA